Molecule: long non-coding RNA, 1055 nt
Filed under: Cricetulus griseus (Chinese hamster)
Lineage: Eukaryota; Metazoa; Chordata; Mammalia; Rodentia; Cricetidae
Description: lncRNA (ENSCGRG00015038021.1)
Source: RNAcentral
CUCUGGUCCCUACCAGCUGGCUGGCGUGGGUUUCUUCCCUUCUAAGCUUGGCCUAGAAACUCAUAUUUUAUUCAUGAAAAUUGAGGCCCUGGGAGGCCUUGGCAUAAACAGGAUGUAAAUAUUUGCGGGCAGUUGAAGGAGCAGUGAUAUCUGAGCAGGGGCUGUCCAAAGCUAGGGCACUGAGACAAUGCUUACUUGGGGACCCGCCCACCUCCACCUCUGUUAAGGUUGAGGGUGGAGGACUGAGCCGGAGGGACUGGCCUACUGCUUUCAUUGUUGGGGUGCUCGGAGCUGGAGCUCAGGUCUAAAGUAGUCCACGCUGUUCUGGAACUCACAAUAUAGUCCUUCUACCUCCACAUCCCAAGUGCUGGAAUUACAGUAUUGGCCACCACGCCUCAGCUGAUUGCCACCUAACAGCCUGGCCAGGUAGAAUGGCUUUGAUUCUGAAUCCUGGCUGUUCCCAGUGUCAGCUGUGGGAACUCUUGCACAAAGUCCCCAAGGUCUCUCCCUGAACAGGCAGUAACGCCUACAGGAUCAUCAUGUCCACAUCUAUGUUCUGCGGCUAGCUUCACUCAGUUUGCCUUUCUGAGGUUAACUUGGCCUGGCUGGGAGCUUCCUGGGGAACACCAGUGGUCUGGGACAUGCAGAAGAGGCUCUCCCACGCUCUUAAUCCCAACACUCAGAGGCAGAGGCAGGUGGAUCUCUGUGAGUGCCAGGUCAGCCCUCAGCCUGUUUGCUCCAUCAUUCACCCAAGAAGGUUGCCUGAAACAUAAUCUGCUGUAGUCUGUCUUUCUGUCAUACUGCCACCCAGGAGAUGGAGGCAACUUGGACUACAUAGUAAGACCUACUUGCAAAAAGGAAAAAGAAAAAGGCACCGAAAUUGAAGUCUGUUUGGGAUCUGGAAGAGCAGCUAAGGUUUACAGCUUAUACCCUGCACCUAAGAAGCUAAGUAUGAGGAAAACCUUGCUUCCUGUCAGGCUGUGUGCCUUCUUGGAAUGCACGCCCUCAGGGCAGCACAGAAGGUGGUGAGUCUAUGCGUCCCUGUGUGAGCACAU